Molecule: RNA transcript, 340 nt
Organism: Caenorhabditis elegans
Lineage: Eukaryota; Metazoa; Nematoda; Chromadorea; Rhabditida; Rhabditidae
Gene: F32D1.8
Gene name: Non-coding transcript of protein-coding gene F32D1.8b
Exons: 4
Source: RefSeq, marked reviewed
AUGUUGGGCUACCUAAUAAGCUUGACCCAGGCUUGGCUGAAAAAAGUGUUUGUCUUCGUAACUAAAACCAACAUCGCCAAGGGAGUCGAUGCAUCGGAAUACUUUUCCGUCAGCGAAAUCAGCGAGGAGCCGAUGUUGAAAGAGCCCUUCGACGAGCAACACGACGAUGAGUACUGGGAGCAUUACGCCAGAAUCCGCCAGGAGCUUCUCAGCCGCGUGCUUUUCCCUAUUCGAAGAGGUAAAACUCUCGAAGAACAAUUUUCAGCCGAUAGCGACGAAGAAGAAUGGUCCGAUGACAGCUGGGAGUUUGCAUACAACUGCAAGUAAAUUACUGGGUUAA